AUGCAACUCAUUGAACUCUCGAGUGAUCAGGGAUACCACUACAGAAAAACAUGCAAACAAGUGCGACAAAAGAGGUUGUUGAAGCGACAAUGGAUGAAGAAGCGACAGAACCGACUCAGUAUGCUAAUCCUAACAGAAACAACCUCAAGAAACUCAAAUAUCUCAUGUAAGAUGCAGGCUGAUGGAGCUCAGAAAAUGGUCAAAUAG
Vicia faba (fava bean) is the source of this 207-nucleotide non-coding RNA. NCBI's taxonomy places the organism in Eukaryota, Viridiplantae, Streptophyta, Magnoliopsida, Fabales, Fabaceae. The record is from the annotation of a GenBank genome assembly.